AACGAGAAAGCCCUUCGGGGUGAGUAAAGUGGCGAACGGGUGAGUAACACGUGGGCAAUCUGCCCCUCGCAGGGGGACAACCGGGGGAAACCCCGGCUAAUACCCCGUACGCUUGUGGAGUCGCAUGGCUCCACAAGGAAAGGUAGCUUCGGCCAUCCGGCGAGGGAUGAGCCCGCGGUACAUUAGCUAGUUGGUAGGGUAACGGCCUACCAAGGCGACGAUGUAUAGCUGGUCUGAGAGGAUGAUCAGCCACACUGGGACUGAGACACGGCCCAGACUCCUACGGGAGGCAGCAGUCGGGAAUCUUGCGCAAUGGGCGAAAGCCUGACGCAGCAACACCGUGUGAGCGACGAAGGCCCUCGGGUCGUAAAGCUCUGUUGUUGGGGACGAAGGGCAAAGGGUUAAUAGCCCCUAGCCUGACGGUACCCUUCGAGGAAGCCCCGGCUAACUACGUGCCAGCAGCCGCGGUAAUACGUAGGGGGCGAGCGUUGUCCGGAAUUAUUGGGCGUAAAGAGCGUGUAAGCGGGUCGGUAAGUCUGCCGUGAAACCCUGGGGCUCAACCCCAGGCGUGCGGUGGAAACUGCCUGACUAGAGGAUG
RNAcentral lists this ribosomal RNA (598 nucleotides) under uncultured Rubrobacter sp. Its description in RNAcentral is "bacterial SSU rRNA". It matches the Rfam family "Bacterial small subunit ribosomal RNA", at positions 65 to 650 of the family's 1533-position model. The record is from RNAcentral. Lineage: Bacteria; Bacillati; Actinomycetota; Rubrobacteria; Rubrobacterales; Rubrobacteraceae.